UCUCUGUGUGGCUUUGGAACCUGUCCUGGAACUCACUAUGUGGACCAGACUGGCCUAGAACUCACAGAGAUCCGCCUGCCUCUGCCUCCCGAGUGCUGGGAUUAAAGACCUGCGCCACCACCGCCCAACUGAGGAAACAGUUCUCAGUCACACAGUCUCUUGAGAUUCCAGGAAGCAGGAUCGCCAUUUUCAGACUGAAGUCGAGGCUACCUAAAUUUCCAUUUCAAUUGGGACGUCUUUGAGAAGACAGCCCCCUCAGCCCUCGGUGAGCACCACAGCCUCGUGAAUGCUCUGCGUGAUGUAGUCUAUGUUCCUGGCGUUGAUGCAGGACCCAGGGGUCCCCAGGAGUCGGAGCUUCUCCUUCACCUUCUCCUUGACCAACAUGAUGUUCUCCACGACACCUUUCAGACUGUAUUUCCUACCAAGGAAAGAAGCAAGAAAUGGGACCGAGAGGUCUCCUUGUUGCCCAACAUGUGUUCCCCUCUUCCUACAUGCAGGCAGCACAAGGCUGGAACCUGAGCUCUGCGGCACCUGUGGUCGAAGGAGGUCCGAUUCUGUUGUUGUCUGGGUCUUAAACAUCUCCCAAAGGCUUGUGUGUGUUAAAGGCCGUGUCACUAUUGGUUGUGGGAGGAUGUUAGCUCAUUGGGGGUGGAUCUCUCUUUCUUUACAUCUGUUUGCCUU
Chionomys nivalis (European snow vole) is the source of this 681-nucleotide long non-coding RNA. RefSeq lists it as uncharacterized. The transcript has 3 exons. NCBI's taxonomy places the organism in Eukaryota, Metazoa, Chordata, Mammalia, Rodentia, Cricetidae. The record is from RefSeq and is a predicted model, not a curated record.